This 254-nucleotide ribosomal RNA is filed under the name uncultured bacterium. Its description in RNAcentral is "partial 16S ribosomal RNA". It matches the Rfam family "Bacterial small subunit ribosomal RNA", at positions 524 to 776 of the family's 1533-position model. The record is from RNAcentral.
UACAGAGGGUGCGAGCGUUAAUCGGAAUUACUGGGCGUAAAGCGCGCGUAGGCGGCUUUGCAAGUCGGGGUGUGAAAUCCCCAGGCUUAACCUGGGAACUGCAUUCGAGACUGCAUUGCUAGAGUAUGGGAGAGGGAAGUGGAAUUUCAGGUGUAGCGGUGAAAUGCGUAGAUAUCUGAAGGAACAUCAGUGGCGAAAGCGACUUCCUGGACCAAUACUGACGCUCAUGUGCGAAAGCGUGGGGAGCAAACAGG